Molecule: long non-coding RNA, 121 nt
Organism: Etheostoma spectabile (orangethroat darter)
Lineage: Eukaryota; Metazoa; Chordata; Actinopteri; Perciformes; Percidae
Exons: 3
Source: RefSeq, a predicted model, not a curated record
UUUCAUUUCCUCGUCGCUUCUGUGUGUUCCAAGGCACUUUUUGGACCAACUCAGGGAGGCAGUCAGUCCGACUGCCUUUUCUGCCGACGGUUGGCCGUCGGGUUGGUGUGUCAGAGCCUUA